Molecule: long non-coding RNA, 1243 nt
Organism: Polypterus senegalus (gray bichir)
Lineage: Eukaryota; Metazoa; Chordata; Cladistia; Polypteriformes; Polypteridae
Exons: 3
Source: RefSeq, a predicted model, not a curated record
GAAAUGGGCACGCUGAUAUUUUCUCAUUACAGCCAACUGUUAUUUUCUUCCUCUGCUGGAGACGCAAAUGUAAUAAAAGAAGGCAAGGCAGUCCAGAGGAGCUCAUUCUCCAAAGUUUCACACGCCGCAGGUCUGCCGUGCCCCUCUCUGCCAAGUCUGCAGAAACUGAGGGGCACUUUAUCCUCAGGAACGGAAGAUUGAUGACCAUUCCGCUACUGACGACACUUCCACUAUCCUCCCUCCUAGACUCUCCCCUUCCUACCUGGAGCCCAUAUGACAAGAAGUUCAGCCAUUUUGAGGCACUUCAAUUCUGGGCUCCCGUCUUGUUGUGUGUUUUUCAUUGUUGUUCUCUUUCAGUUGUACGGGGUCACCAAGGUGUUUCGUAUCCUCUUGACAAUGGCUUCAUAUCAAAUGAGAUGUUUAAAGCAGGUGUGUCAGACUCAGAACACGGAAGGCCACGGUGGACGUAGGUUGUCAUUUCAGACACUUUUCUCCUUUAAUCAACAAUCCCUAAGAAUCACUAAUGCUAAUGGAACAGACUGUGUGGGUCUUGAUAUUAGUUGACUUACAUUUUAAUAGUUUCAUUUUUUUUUUAUCAACAUCCAAGCAAUAAUGAGAUGUAAAGCCAGACAAAAGAUGACGAGCUAGCAUUUACACCUGUGUUUUAGAUACAAUAUCCAUUGUAACAUUUGAAGGCAUAUGAGAAAAAAGACAAGGACUGUGACUGCAAAAUGAACACAAUGAAGAGCCAUAGAAUUAAUAAUAAUAAUAAAAAAAAAUGCUAAACAGGAGACAUGACAAUGGUGGCCACUCCGGGUUGUGUGAGACCCUCUAGUCAACUCUUGGCUCGCUUUGGCACUUCUUCAUUGUUGAGCUCAACAGCUUAGAUGGAAAAAAAGGUAUCGACUGAUGUCCUGCUGUGAGUAACUGCAGUUCAGAAUUAUGAAACGUAACAUUUUUGAAAGACGUAUCUGAUGGUGAGUUAAAAAUCUCUGUUGAAAUGUUGAGGUAAAAUUGUUGUUCAAGUUCUUAAGUUAAAAUCUUGACUUACAAACCAGAGUGCACAUUAAGAUCUCAAGAUGCCGGUCUGCUCAUGAUUCCAAGGAUUAAUAAAAUAACAGUGGGAGGUUGAGCUUUAAGUUACAGGGGGUCCCUAAACUUUGGACUAGUCUGACUGUUACUAUAAGAGUUUAUCAGUUUAGCACACCCUGACUAGAGCUGCUGAUUAACUGUACAGACUGCA